RNAcentral lists this ribosomal RNA (207 nucleotides) under uncultured bacterium. Its description in RNAcentral is "partial 16S ribosomal RNA". It matches the Rfam family "Bacterial small subunit ribosomal RNA", at positions 568 to 774 of the family's 1533-position model. The record is from RNAcentral.
CGCGUAGGCGGCUUGUCGGGUCUGAUGUGAAAGCCCGGGGCUCAACCCCGGAAGUGCAUUGGAAACUGGCAAGCUUGAGUUCGGAAGAGGAGGGCAGAAUUCCUGGUGUAGGGGUGGAAUCCGUAGAUAUCAGGAGGAAAACCAGUGGCGAAGGCGGCCCUCUGGGACGAAACUGACGCUAAGGCGCGAAAGCGUGGGGAGCAAACA